RNAcentral lists this ribosomal RNA (253 nucleotides) under uncultured bacterium. RNAcentral describes it as "partial 16S ribosomal RNA". It matches the Rfam family "Bacterial small subunit ribosomal RNA", at positions 524 to 776 of the family's 1533-position model. The record is from RNAcentral.
UACAGAGGGUGCGAGCGUUGUUCGGAAUUAUUGGGCGUAAAGCGCAUGUAGGCGGCUUGUUAAGUCGCGUGUGAAAGCUCCAGGCUCAACCUGGAAAGUGCGCGCGAAACUGGCGAGCUUGAGUGCCGGAGAGGGUGGCGGAAUUCCCGGUGUAGAGGUGAAAUUCGUAGAUAUCAGGAGGAACACCUGUGGCGAAGGCGUCCAUCUGGCCCGUUACUGACGCUGAUGCGCGAAAGCUAGGGGAGCAAACGGG